CUACGUGCCAGCAGCCGCGGUAAUACGUAGGGCGCGAGCGUUGUCCGGAAUUAUUGGGCGUAAAGAGCUCGUAGGCGGCUGGUCGCGUCUGUCGUGAAAUCCUCUGGCUUAACUGGGGGCUUGCGGUGGGUACGGGCCGGCUUGAGUGCGGUAGGGGAGACUGGAACUCCUGGUGUAGCGGUGGAAUGCGCAGAUAUCAGGAGGAACACCGAUGGCGAAGGCAGGUCUCUGGGCUGUAACUGACGCUGAGAAGCGAAAGCAUGGGGAGCGAACAGGAUUAGAUACCCUGGUAGUCCAUGCCGUAAACGUUGGGCACUAGGUGUGGGGGACAUUCCACGUUUUCCGCGCCGUAGCUAACGCAUUAAGUGCCCCGCCUGGGGAGUACGGCCGCAAGGCUAAAACUCAAAGAAAUUGACGGGGGCCCGCACAAGCGGCGGAGCAUGCGGAUUAAUUCGAUGCAACGCGAAGAACCUUACCAAGGCUUGACAU
Molecule: ribosomal RNA, 489 nt
Filed under: uncultured bacterium
Lineage: Bacteria
Description: bacterial SSU rRNA
Rfam family: Bacterial small subunit ribosomal RNA
Source: RNAcentral